Small nuclear RNA from Anolis carolinensis (green anole), 155 nucleotides. Its record names the gene U2. It matches the Rfam family "U2 spliceosomal RNA". From Rfam's summary of the family: U2 is a small nuclear RNA (snRNA) component of the spliceosome (involved in pre-mRNA splicing). Lineage: Eukaryota; Metazoa; Chordata; Lepidosauria; Squamata; Anolidae. The record is from Ensembl.
AUUUCUUCUCGGCCUUUUGGCUAAGAUCAAGUGUAGUAUUUAAUACAGAAAAUGCCAAUAGGAAACAAAAUGGAUGUCAACUUCAUGCAUUUUGCCUUAAGCUUUUAAAGAAGGCUUAUUCUGGAUAAUAUGUAAUCUGGAAAUGAAAAACUCCA